Molecule: ribosomal RNA, 255 nt
Filed under: uncultured bacterium
Lineage: Bacteria
Description: partial 16S ribosomal RNA
Rfam family: Bacterial small subunit ribosomal RNA
Source: RNAcentral
UACGUAGGGUGCGAGCGUUGUCCGGAAUUAUUGGGCGUAAAGAGCUUGUAGGCGGUUUGUCGCGUCUGCUGUGAAAAUCCGGGGCUCAACCCCGGACUUGCAGUGGGUACGGGGCAGACUAGAGUGUGGUAGGGGGAGACUGGAAUUCCUGGUGUAGCGGUGAAAUGCGCAGAUAUCAGGAGGAACACCGAUGGCGAAGGCAGGUCUCUGGGCCACUACUGACGCUGAGAAGCGAAAGCAUGGGGAGCGAACAGG